CCUUGUGGAGGAGGACGCCGAAGGUGGGGCUAAUGACUGGGGUGAAGUCGUAACAAGGUAGCCGUACCGGAAGGUGCGGCUGGAUCACCUCCUAACAGGGAGACAACAAAAUGUUAAAUAUUAAUUUUGUCACCUUAGGUCGAUCGGUAUCUCACAUUCUUAAUUUAUUAAGGAUUUUAUUUCCUAAGUUUUUUCUAGGUCACACCCAUUAGUUUUCCUGGGCCAUUAGCUCAGGUGGUUAGAGCGCACCCCUGAUAAGGGUGAGGUCCCUGGUUCAAGUCCAGGAUGGCCCAUAUCUCUAUGUUGGGGGUAUAGCUCAGUUGGUAGAGCGCCUGCUUUGCAAGCAGGAUGUCAGCGGUUCGAGUCCGCUUACCUCCACUGAUUACCACCUCUUCCAUAAUUUAUAAAAAGGAAAUGUUUUUAGGUGUGAUCAAAUUCUGAACGAAUCUAGCUUCCUAAUAAAACUUAUUAAGAUGCUGGACUCAUUGAAUUAAAUUCAUUGUUUUCAGAGAAUCUUGACAACUGCAUAGAUUAUUUUUAAAGACAAUAAGCAUCUUUAAUGAUGCAGAUUUAUUAUUUGUGCGAAUGCAUUAAUAACAAUUCUAUUAAGCUGAUGCUUCAAUUUUUGAAGUUAUUGGUCAAGCUACAAAGGGCUCACGGAGGAUACCUAGG
Molecule: unclassified non-coding RNA, 672 nt
Filed under: uncultured Prochlorococcus sp.
Lineage: Bacteria; Bacillati; Cyanobacteriota; Cyanophyceae; Synechococcales; Prochlorococcaceae
Description: partial may contain 16S ribosomal RNA, 16S-23S ribosomal RNA intergenic spacer, and 23S ribosomal RNA
Rfam family: Bacterial small subunit ribosomal RNA (bases 1-95)
Source: RNAcentral